This 770-nucleotide long non-coding RNA is filed under the name Mytilus galloprovincialis (Mediterranean mussel). Lineage: Eukaryota; Metazoa; Mollusca; Bivalvia; Mytilida; Mytilidae. The record is from RNAcentral.
UGGUCAGCUGCCCCAUCGCCGAAAAUGACAAAGUUUAAAGGAACUUUCCAUUAGAUCAAUUACAUGCACGUUACUCAAAUAAUUAUCGUGACUGCCAUUCUGUAGCUAAACUGUUUAAUUAAGUAAUAGUUUUAAAGUUUUAAAGCCUUUCACUGGAUUAGGAAGUCAUGCAACACUACAAGGUCAAUGGCUUUCGAUUGCAGGAUUCCCUUUAGAGGCCCUAUAUAUUUGAUUCGGAUGCUCCUGAAGACUUCCGUAAGCUAAAGUCCGAGAACUGGACCCCUGCUGUUGUUUCACUCUUAUCGUGUUGCGAAGUAUCAGUCAGCGGGUGGCAAGUUUAGUCCGAGAACUCGUGUGUACAAUGACGAUCUCGACUCAGCUACGGAAUCGUCAUUUGACAGUGACUCGGAAUAUGAAGUGGUCAGUGAAUUAAUGGAUUAGAAAAUAAUUAUAAAAAGCAAAAUUGCUCCAACAUUGAACGAUUUAUACAUUGUAGUUUCACAACGACGAGCGUGAUUGACGGAGUGGCGUUUGAUUUAUAAACAAAAAUGAACCAAUAAGUCUAUCUUUAUCUACUUAUAUUUUUACGCUUACGUCUAUAUUAUCACGAAAAUAAAUAGUCGUCUGUUGUGUCACCUAUUAUCCAUUGUCAGUAAGUGCUAAAAUUAUUUUGGUGUCGACUUCUGUUUACCUCUACAAUCCGAACACCUGUGAAAACCGAACAAAACGCAAAGUCCCGUGGGUGUUCGGUUUGGACAGGUUUUACUGUA